Molecule: long non-coding RNA, 225 nt
Organism: Oncorhynchus keta (chum salmon)
Lineage: Eukaryota; Metazoa; Chordata; Actinopteri; Salmoniformes; Salmonidae
Exons: 2
Source: RefSeq, a predicted model, not a curated record
CUUUGAGAUAUCAGCUGAUGUAAGAAGGGCUAUAUGAAUAAAUUUGAUUUGAUUUGAUGACAGAUGUGUGUGUGUGUUAAAUGUCUAGGUGUAUGACAGGUGUGUGUGUGUGUGUGUGUGUGUCUAGAUGUGUGUGUCUAGAUAUGUAUGUGUGUGUGUCUAGAUGUGUGUGUGUGUCUAGAUGUGUGUGUGUGUCUAGAUAAUAUAAUAAUAAUAAUAAUAAUA